Molecule: ribosomal RNA, 491 nt
Filed under: uncultured bacterium
Lineage: Bacteria
Description: bacterial SSU rRNA
Rfam family: Bacterial small subunit ribosomal RNA
Source: RNAcentral
GAUGAACGCUAGCGGCAGGCUUAACACAUGCAAGUCGAGGGGCAGCAUGAGGGUUAGCAAUAACCCUUGAUGGCGACCGGCGCAAGGGUGCGUAACGCGUGAGCAACUUGCCCGUUUCAGGGGGAUAACCGGUGGAAACGCCGACUAAUACCCCAUGGUGAUGGUUUGAGGCAUCUCUUUCCAUCUAAAGAAUUUCGGAAACGGAUAGGCUCGCGUGACAUUAGCUAGAUGGCGGGUAACGGCCCACCAUGGCGACGAUGUCUAGGGGUUCUGAGAGGAAGGUCCCCCANACUGGAACUGAGACACGGUCCAGACUCCUACGGGAGCAGCAGUGAGGAAUAUUGGUCAGUGGUCUGACGACUGAACCAGCCAUGCCGCGUGAAGGUCACGGCCCUAUGGGUCUUAAACUUCUUUGCAAGGGAGCAAUAAGGUCUACGUGUAGAUCGAUGAGAGUACCUUGCGAAUAAGCAUCGGCUAACUCCGUGCCAGCA